GCCUUAACAAAAAUAAUUUAUUCCACACACCUCCCAAGGCAGGGGGUAGCGUGGGAAUCAAGCAUGUGUAAGGCACUGCCCCCGCCAGACCCUUCUAACUUCUGCACACUGGAAGGUGAAACCUGGAGAGAGAAGACACUCCCCUCCCUAGCUUCUACCUGGCACCCUCCAAAGAUGAGCAUUCAUCUUGGAGACCAAAAUAAAAAAGGACAAAAGACCAGGCUCAGAGGGAGCAGAGCUCAAUGGGGGGAAGUGAAAGCAGCCAUCUUCUCCUGCAGCUAAGCCAGGGCAAGGCACUAGAGACCCACAUCCUUCCCAUGCCACCAACUCGUCAGGUCCCACCAAGCAAGCCACUCACCCUACAGCCCAGCAACCAUGGCUUGCCUCACCUGGGAGACCAGCACGACUUCCAGAAGCUUCCAAACCCCACCCUGAAGCCAAACCCCACCCAGGAGGUCUGAGGAGCUGGAGGCUGGCCAGGCAUAGAGGGCCCGGGGUGGUCCUUCCUCCCAGGGUGCAAAGGCUUCUUCAUUGUCCGGAAGGGAGCAGGGUGGGCGGAGCCCCAGCAGCUAGUGAGGAGUUCCAUUCCAGCCCACCCAGCUGGGGGACCCUCCUCUGGCUUCACUUGCCCCAGUUGAGGGCCAAGACCAAGCAGGAGAGACUGAGGCUCCAGUGAGAAUGAGGGUGGAGAAGAGGGCCAGGGCUGUGGUGGGGACGUAAUGAGGGUGCAGGCGACACUGGGUGCGGGGGGCUGAGGCCUUUGAGGUCUCUGAGCUGCGGAACAGGGUUAGCGUUUCAGGCCCAGGCUCCUGACGGUGGAGGCGCUGGCCCCGCAGACAGCAGACUGCAGCUUCUCCUGAGGGGGCUCUUCAGAAAGAACAUGUUGGCCACUGUGAAAGGCGGGCAGCCCCUCUGGGCAAGAAGGAAGGAUGAGCACAGGGAGGGACGAGAGGGGACGCCAGGAGACAGGAUACUCACACGGGGACUCGGGAGACAGAGCCAUUCCGGAACAGCAGGUAGCAAGAGGGGAAGUCGGUGACACCAAACUUUCUCACCACAUUGGCCUCUGUGUUCAGCACCCUGCGCACCGCCACGCCUUUGUGCUGGGACAGGUCCAGAGCCACCUGCAGGGACAGCAGAACAUCUGGGGGCCAGGCCACCGGGUGGAGGGAGCCAGGGCUGGGUCCCAGCUCGGUGACCUGUGAAGGCACCCAGAUGGCAGCUGUGCUCCUUCCAGACUCUAAACCCACAAAGAGUGGACCACACUGAUGCGCAAGAGAUACUCGCCAUCAACAGCAGCUAACCAGUAGGUAGCAAGUGCCAAUCACUGCCCAGGAGGAGAGGCCUUGGAGCUGUGCAUGCCACACACGCUUUAAUUUCUUACGACAGUCCCAACUGGGUAGCAUUUUCUUUCUAAUGAAAGCAAUUUGUAAAGAGCACAAUAAAAUGUGGUUUCAUUUUAAUUCUCGUUUGUUUUUUGCACUGAGCCAGCACGUUCUUGUCUUUAAGACCUUCACACCCCAAGACUGCUCUCUGAUGUCCAGGAUUCCCCAGGGCCUUCUCAUAACAUUUUUCUAAAGGGAAAAGAUCCCUUUAGAAAUUACUAAUUAUUGUUUGUUUGAAAUAUCAAUUGUUGGGGGCAAGAGCAGUCUUCCUUAUGGAAGCUUGAGUCACAGAUGUUUAAAGAACUGUGAUUUUAUUGCGUUCAAAUACAUAUGGUAACAAAUUUCAUGGGUAGGAUACAAACAAAAUAAACCUUUGGAAUUGGGUAAACUUCUAAACAGCAGGCUAACUCUGAGCCCAGUAUGUGCAGUAGUCAGAGGGGCCCUUUGGUCAAUGUGUAUAGUUAUAAGAAGAUCUGAAAACGUUUCUUAACGUGGGGCUCUCUGAAGGCAACAAGAGGCCUUGUUGAGAUGACAAUGUCCCCACAUUAGAAAUGGGAAGAGAAGUUCUGAGCAUAAUCGGACAGGCCAUCUGCAAAUGGCAGGCACGGACUUCUGUUACUGACGUCUCACUCUUCACCAUGGAGCAGGUGGCGCCCCCUAGCCUUUUUUCUUAUAUUUAUAAAGCUUCCUAUCUAGACUCCGAAUCAGAAAAAUAUACAUCAGUCAUCAUUAUUUUUUUUAGAAAGAAAUAAAGAGAAAGCACUAGCUAACCUGUAUUGCAUAGGUAUUAUGUAGUGUCCACACAGAUUGCCUCAUUUAUCUUCAGAGAAACACUGAAAUAGCAGCUAUUCUCAGGAGACUAAGAGAUGCGGCACCGUACACUACAGUUGCCUGCAUUGGAAUCCUGGCCCCACUGCACCAAACCUUUCCCUGACCAAAUUUCCUUACUUGCAAAAUA
Molecule: long non-coding RNA, 2343 nt
Filed under: Homo sapiens (human)
Lineage: Eukaryota; Metazoa; Chordata; Mammalia; Primates; Hominidae
Description: non-protein coding lnc-ACBD6-2:1
Source: RNAcentral